This 446-nucleotide ribosomal RNA is filed under the name uncultured bacterium. Its description in RNAcentral is "partial 16S ribosomal RNA". It matches the Rfam family "Bacterial small subunit ribosomal RNA", at positions 338 to 795 of the family's 1533-position model. The record is from RNAcentral.
CCUACGGGGAGCAGCAGUCGAGAAUCAUUCACAAUGGGGGAAACCCUGAUGGUGCGACGCCGCGUGGGGGAAUGAAGGUCUUCGGAUUGUAAACCCCUGUCAUGUGGGAGCAAAUUAAAAAGAUAGUACCACAAGAGGAAGAGACGGCUAACUCUGUGCCAGUAGCCGCGGUAAUACAGAGGUCUCAAGCGUUGUUCGGAAUCACUGGGCGUAAAGCGUGCGUAGGCUGUUUCGUAAGUCGUGUGUGAAAGGCGCGGGCUCAACCCGCGGACGGCACAUGAUACUGCGAGACUAGAGUAAGGGAGGAGGAACCGGAAUGCUCGGUGUAGCAGUGAAAUGCGUAGAUAUCGAGAGGAACACUCGUGGCGAAGGCGGGUUCCUGGACAUUAACUGACGCUGAGGCACGAAGGCCAGGGGAGCGAAAGGGAUUAGAUACCCGGGUAGUC